Molecule: ribosomal RNA, 404 nt
Filed under: uncultured bacterium
Lineage: Bacteria
Description: bacterial SSU rRNA
Rfam family: Bacterial small subunit ribosomal RNA
Source: RNAcentral
UAGGGAAUAUUGGACAAUGGGCGAAAGCCUGAUCCAGCCAUGCCGCGUGAGUGAUGAAGGCCUUAGGGUUGUAAAGCUCUUUCGCCGAGGACGAUAAUGACGGUACUCGGAUAAGAAGCCCCGGCUAACUUCGUGCCAGCAGCCGCGGUAAUACGAAGGGGGCUAGCGUUGUUCGGAAUUACUGGGCGUAAAGCGUAUGCAGGCGGACCGUUAAGUCGGAGGUGAAAUCCCAGGGCUCAACCCUGGAACUGCCUUCGAUACUGGCGGCCUUCGAGUCCGGGAGAGGUGAGUGGAACUCCGAGUGUAGAGGUGAAAUUCGUAGAUAUUCGGAAGAACACCAGUGGCGAAGGCGGCUCACUGGCCCGGUACUGACGCUGAGAUACGAAAGCGUGGGGAGCAAACAG